UCAGGAGGGACCUCAACGUG
RNAcentral lists this non-coding RNA (20 nucleotides) under Arabidopsis thaliana (thale cress). Lineage: Eukaryota; Viridiplantae; Streptophyta; Magnoliopsida; Brassicales; Brassicaceae. The record is from RNAcentral.